GUGAGAGGGGAACUGAAGGUUCUGCUCAUUCACAGGAGUUGCCUAUAACAGUAGAUGACAGCCAGCCUGAGAAACUGGAGGGCAAAUCUAACUUAGAUAGGUUAAAAACUACUGAGAAAGAGGAAGUGAAUGUCUCUAAUGAAAAGCCAAACUGGCGGGAGAGUGAACCUAAGAAUGGCAACUGUCAUUCAAGAAAUACCCCAACUGAAAGUGGGAGGAUGGAUGUAGCCCAUUUACAUCCGCAUUCUUCUGGGAACACCUCUAAACAUUCAGCAUUGCCACCAACGCUAAGACAAAUGUCACCUGAAAAGCCCGUGCACACACACCAGUCUCCCGAAGGCCAUGGGCCGCUGUCAUCACAAGAAGGUUUCUUAGAGUCAUCUGAUCCACCUACAUCAUGUAGACCUAGAAAAUCUUCUUCACGUGAAAGGUCAAGUAGACACAAACGUAGACAAUCUUCAUCACCUAAAAGGUCUGAUCAGGCUAAAAAGGUCCCAUCUCGAGAUCAUUUGUCUUCCUCUACUAAGCAAACAUCUGCCUCUCCGCAUAGGUCUCAGUAUAAGGAUGGUUCUUCUCAAAAUCGCAGAUCCGCAUCACCAAAAUUCCGCAAAUCACCAAGAAAAUAUGGAAGACUGGAGAAAUCGGUGUCACGAUCACCCAUUAGGAAAAGGGAUUCCUCAUCUGGAUACAAGAGAGAUCGUCGCGGCAGGUCUCGAUCAAGUUCCCCGCAUGUGAGAGACCGUCACAAGUCCCCUAGGGUAAGGAAUUCUCCAAGGCAAAGAUCUCCUCCUGGAUAUCACUCCAGCCUUCGCUCUCCUCGUCAGAGACCCUAGGGUUCCUCCUCCUAAUAGGAGAACAGGAUUAGGGAAACCAGGAAACAAUUUAUUUGUUGCAGGAUUUAGCUUCUUGACCACAGAAAGAGAUCUGGAAAGGAAAUUUUCUAGGUUUGGCCGUGUACGAGAUGUUCGUAUUGUGCGUGAUAAGAGGUCAGGGGAUUCUCGUGGAUUUGGUUUUUUAUCAAUGGAAAAGGAUGAAGAUGCAGAUGCAGCAAUUAAAGCCCUUGAUGAGACUGAAUGGAAUGGUAGGAUUAUCCUUGUCGAGAAAUCAAAAUCUCAUUGAAGCAUCAAUUAUAAGACGCCCCUGUCUAGUCUGAAUAUGAUAAUUGCUCAACCUCAGUCAGCU
Molecule: unclassified non-coding RNA, 1182 nt
Filed under: Hevea brasiliensis (rubber tree)
Lineage: Eukaryota; Viridiplantae; Streptophyta; Magnoliopsida; Malpighiales; Euphorbiaceae
Source: RNAcentral